UGAGGGAUAUUGGUCAAUGGGGGCAACCCUGAACCAGCGACGCCGCGUGGGUGAUGAAGGCCUUCGGGUCGUAAAACCCUUUUGCCACUGACGAGGAAGGACGGUAGGUGGCGAAUAAGCCUCGGCUAACUACGUGCCAGCAGCCGCGGUAAAACGUAGGAGGCGAGCGUUAUCCGGAGUUACUGGGCGUAAAGCGCGUGUAGGUGGUUGCGCAAGUUGCGUGUGAAAGCGCCCGGCUAAACUGGGCGAGGACAGGCAAGACUGCGCGGCUAGAGGGUGAUAGAGGGGCGUGGAAUUCCGGGUGUAGCGGUGAAAUGUGCAGAGAUCCGGAGGAACACCAGUGGUGGAGACGGCGCCCUGGGUCACAACUGACACUGAGACGCGAAAGCGUGGGGAGCGAACGGGAUUAGAGACCCCGGUAGUCCACGCGGUAAACGAUGCAUACUGGGUGUCCACUCCCGCAAGGGAGGGGGUGCCGCAGCCAACGCGCUAAGUAUGCCGCCUGGGGGA
RNAcentral lists this ribosomal RNA (510 nucleotides) under uncultured Chloroflexota bacterium. RNAcentral's name for it is "bacterial SSU rRNA". It matches the Rfam family "Bacterial small subunit ribosomal RNA", at positions 355 to 880 of the family's 1533-position model. Lineage: Bacteria; Bacillati; Chloroflexota. The record is from RNAcentral.